Molecule: ribosomal RNA, 424 nt
Filed under: uncultured bacterium
Lineage: Bacteria
Description: partial 16S ribosomal RNA
Rfam family: Bacterial small subunit ribosomal RNA
Source: RNAcentral
GUGGGGGAUAUUGCACAAUGGAGGAAACUCUGAUGCAGCGACGCCGCGUGAGUGAAGAAGUAUUUCGGUAUGUAAAGCUCUAUCAGCAGGGAAGAUAAUGACAGUACCUGACUAAGAAGCCCCGGCUAACUACGUGCCAGCAGCCGCGGUAAUACGUAGGGGGCAAGCGUUAUCCGGAUUUACUGGGUGUAAAGGGAGCGUAGACGGAAUGGCAAGUCUGAAGUGAAAUCCUGCGGCUUAACUACAGAAUUGCUUUGGAAACUGUCAAUCUGGAGUGUUGGAGAGGUAAGCGGAAUUCCUGGUGUAGCGGUGAAAUGCGUAGAUAUCAGGAAGAACACCGGAGGCGAAGGCGACUUACUGGACAAUAACUGACGUUGAGGCUCGAAAGCGUGGGAAGCAAACAGGAUAGAUACCCGUGUAGUCC